RNAcentral lists this long non-coding RNA (718 nucleotides) under Equus caballus (horse). Its description in RNAcentral is "lncRNA (ENSECAG00000057538.1)". The record is from RNAcentral. Lineage: Eukaryota; Metazoa; Chordata; Mammalia; Perissodactyla; Equidae.
GCAGAAUAGGGAAGAUGUUCAAGGGAUGCCCCCAUCAUCCCUUGCUACAGGAACCCCAAUGGGGGGAUUUUCAAGGUAAUGGCUCCUUUUCUUUCUCCUUUUCUCUCCUGGGGACCAUACGCCAGGCACCUAUUACUGUCAGGCAGAAUAGGGAAGAUGUUCAAGGGAUGCCCCCAUCAUCCCUUGCUACAGGAACUCCAUUGGGGGGAUUUUCAAGGUAAUGGCUCCCUUUCUCUGGGACCAUACGCCAGGCACCUAUUCCUGCCAGGCAGAAUAGGGAAGAUGUUCAAGGGAUGCCCCCAUCAUCCCUUGCUACAGGAACCCCAAUGGGGGGAUUUUCAAGGUAAUGGCUCCCUUUCUCUGGGACCAUACGCCAGGCACCUAUUCCUGCCAGGCAGAAUAGGGAAGAUGUUCAAGGGAUGCCCCCAUCAUCCCUUGCUACAGGAACCCCAAUGGGGGGAUUUUCAAGGUAAUGGCUCCCUUUCUCUGGGACCAUACACCAGGCACCUAUUCCUGCCAGGCAGAAUAGGGAAGAUGUUCAAGGGAUGCCCCCAUCAUCCCUUGCUACAGGAACCCCAUUGGGGGGAUUUUCAAGGUAAUGGCUCCCUUUCUCUGGGACCAUACGCCAGGCACCUAUUCCUGCCAGGCAGAAUAGGGAAGAUGUUCAAGGGAUGCCCCCAUCAUCCCUUGCUACAGGAACCCCAAUGGGGGGAUUUUC